AGUGAACGCUGGCGGUAGGCCUAACACAUGCAAGUCGAACGGCAGCACAGUAAGAGCUUGCUCUUACGGGUGGCGAGUGGCGGACGGGUGAGGAAUACAGCGGAAUCUACUUUUUCGUGGGGGAUAACGUAGGGAAACUUACGCUAAUACCGCAUACGACCUACGGGUGAAAGCAGGGGAUCUUCGGACCUUGCGCGAUUGAAUGAGCCGAUGUCGGAUUAGCUAGUUGGCGGGGUAAAGGCCCACCAAGGCGACGAUCCGUAGCUGGUCUGAGAGGAUGAACCGCCAGACUGGAACUGAGGCACGGCCCAGACUCCUACGGGAGGCAGCAGUGGGGAAUAUUGGACGAUGGGGCAAAGCCUGAUCCAGCCAUACCGCGUGGGUGAAGAAGGCCUUCGGGUUGGAAAGCCCUUUUGUUGGGAAAGAAGAGCAGCAGGUUAAUACCCCGCUGUUCUGACGGUACCCAAAGAAUAAGCACCGGCUAACUUCGUG
Molecule: ribosomal RNA, 492 nt
Filed under: uncultured bacterium
Lineage: Bacteria
Description: partial 16S ribosomal RNA
Rfam family: Bacterial small subunit ribosomal RNA
Source: RNAcentral